This 641-nucleotide ribosomal RNA is filed under the name uncultured bacterium. RNAcentral's name for it is "bacterial SSU rRNA". It matches the Rfam family "Bacterial small subunit ribosomal RNA", at positions 8 to 648 of the family's 1533-position model. The record is from RNAcentral.
AGAGUUUGAUCCUGGCUCAGAUUGAACGCUGGCGGCAGGCCUAACACAUGCAAGUCGAGCGCGAAAAGUUUUCGGACUUAGUAAAGCGGCGGACGGGUGAGUAACGCGUGGGAAUCUGCCCAGUAGUGGGGGACAACAGCCGGAAACGGCUGCUAAUACCGCAUACGCCCUACGGGGGAAAGGGGGGAUCUUCGGACCUCUCGCUAUUGGGUGAGCCCGCGUCGGAUUAGCUAGUUGGUAGGGUAAGGGCCUACCAAGGCUACGAUCCGUAACUGGUCUGAGAGGAUGAUCAGUCACACUGGAACUGAGACACGGUCCAGACUCCUACGGGAGGCAGCAGUGGGGAAUAUUGGACAAUGGGGGCAACCCUGAUCCAGCCAUGCCGCGUGUGUGAAGAAGGCCUUAGGGUUGUAAAGCACUUUCAGUGGGGAGAAAGGUUUGUCACCUAAUACGUGAUGAAAUUGAUGUUACCCACAGAAGAAGCACCGGCUAACUCCGUGCCAGCAGCCGCGGUAAUACGGAGGGUGCAAGCGUCAAUCGGAAUUACUGGGCGUAAAGCGCACGUAGGUGGUUCGCUAAGUCAGCUGUGAAAUCCCCGGGCUCAACCUGGGACUUGCAGUUGAAACUGGUGAGCUAGAGUA